RNAcentral lists this ribosomal RNA (402 nucleotides) under uncultured bacterium. RNAcentral's name for it is "bacterial SSU rRNA". It matches the Rfam family "Bacterial small subunit ribosomal RNA", at positions 362 to 757 of the family's 1533-position model. The record is from RNAcentral.
UUUUGGACAAUGGGCGCAAGCCUGAUCCAGCCAUUCCGCGUGAGUGAAGAAGGCCUUCGGGUUGUAAAGCUCUUUCGCAAGGGAAGAAAGAUUACUCUCUAAUAUAGAGUGAUUAUGACGGUACCUUGAUAAGAAGCACCGGCUAACUACGUGCCAGCAGCCGCGGUAAUACGUAGGGUGCGAGCGUUAAUCGGAAUUACUGGGCGUAAAGCGUGCGCAGGCGGUUUUGUAAGUCAGAUGUGAAAUCCCCGAGCUCAACUUGGGAACUGCGUUUGAAACUACAAGACUAGAAUAGGUCAGAGGGGGGUAGAAUUCCACGUAUAGCAGUGAAAUGCGUAGAGAUGGGAGGAAUAUCAAUGGCGAAGGCAGCCCCCUGGGAUCAUAUUGACGCUCAUGCACGAA